AUGGCCGGCGACAGAUCCCCUUCACCUCCCGCCGCCUCCCCGGCGUCCUCUUGGAGUGAAGCUAAAACUCAGAAGCAUAAACUUGGAAGAUUGUAUCCACUCGACUUUCAAGGUAGUAUAGAAUUUGCAAGAAAACAAGAUGAAGAACGAGCUCAACUAUUCCAAGCACGAGGAUAUUGGCCACUUGACUAUCAAGCUAAUACACGAUAUGCAGACAAACAAGCUGAAAAACAAACACAAUCAGUUGAAGCGCGAGGGCAACAUACUUAUGCUUCUAAAAAGGAAGAAGCUGCUGCAAAUGCGAAACGAUAG
Molecule: ribosomal RNA, 312 nt
Filed under: Triticum aestivum (bread wheat)
Lineage: Eukaryota; Viridiplantae; Streptophyta; Magnoliopsida; Poales; Poaceae
Description: partial small subunit ribosomal RNA
Source: RNAcentral